GAUGAACGCUAGCGGCAGGCUUAAUACAUGCAAGCCGAGGGGCAGCAGCUUUAUAGCAAUAUAGAGGCUGGCGACCGGCAAACGGGUGCGGAACACGUACACAACCUUCCUUGAAUAGGGGGAUAGCCCAUAGAAAUGUGGAUUAAUACCCCGUAAUAUAGCGGUGUGGCAUCACACUGUUAUUAUAGUUUCGGCGAUUCGAGAUGGGUGUGCGGCUGAUUAGGUAGUUGGCGGGGUAAAGGCCCACCAAGCCUUCGAUCAGUAGCUGAUGUGAGAGCAUGAUCAGCCACACGGGCACUGAGACACGGGCCCGACUCCUACGGGAGGCAGCAGUAAGGAAUAUUGGUCAAUGGACGCAAGUCUGAACCAGCCAUGCCGCGUGAAGGAUGAAGGUCCUCUGGAUUGUAAACUUCUUUUAUAGGGGGCGAAAAAAGGUCUUUCUAGAUCACUUGACAGUACCCUAUGAAUAAGCACCGGCUAACUCC
This 485-nucleotide ribosomal RNA is filed under the name uncultured bacterium. Its description in RNAcentral is "bacterial SSU rRNA". It matches the Rfam family "Bacterial small subunit ribosomal RNA", at positions 28 to 504 of the family's 1533-position model. The record is from RNAcentral.